UGGAGCGGCGCAGUCGGCCGCGGGGCGUGGUCGGAGAGGUGACUCCUUUGGGGCCUUCGGGGGCCGGCGGGUGUCGGGAGCCUCAGGGAAGCGAGACUGGAAAGCCCGGGGCCCUCUGGACCCCGAGGGGUGGGGCUGGCCCCCCGGCAGCCUGAACACCAGCGUCUCCGUGUGCUGGUGUCUCCUGAGCCUCUCGCCAGCUGCAGUGUCGGAUCCCUGGUCCACGCUGAAAGGCCGCCAGUGCUGUCACACUCAGGGUUAUGUUUGUCCUUCUCCAGGUUUGUCGUUCCCCACUCAACUCCGCGCCGUCUCAUCCACGCUAGCAGAGUCCAGGUCUUUAGCCCGGAUCUGGCUCAGAAGCUGCCCUCUGCAGCAGCUCCCGGGGGGACAAUGGGACCUGCGUGUCCUGCAGACUCCUCACGACCCAUGUGUCAAAAACUGGAUUCCUGUUUUCCUUGAGGACCCCUUCGCCCCCGGGUAAAGGAGGGCUCGUCCCGGAGUCACUCGGCGCACCGACCGCCGCCGCGACAUCCCGGAGCGCCGAGCUGAGUCGGGCCACCGGGGCCAGCCUGGCCGGGACAGCGGGGACCCAAGAACUUCGGAGACUAGGAGGAGGGAUGGUGUGGAGCCGCGUCUCCCGCUCGAGCUUGCCCACCCACCCACUGCCUGGGAAUGUGCACGUCUAACGGGCUUCCCGGUGUGGGUGAUGCUGCUGUCUGGGGAUAUUUUGACAACCACUCACGUAGUAAUUGAGUGUAUAGACUCCGGAAUUAAAUGGGACUUGCUUUAAAUCUCGCCUCUGCUAUUCACUAUCUCUGUCACCUUUUUGAGCCUCUAUUAAAUUACUGAAAGUACUCGCUUGUGAGAAUUAGAUAGUGGAGACAUGACUGUAUUCAUGGAUGGCAAAAAACACAAACGUAGAAUGAAAGCAAACAAGCUGAAGAAAAACAGUAUUUCCAAUAAAAUAGUACUCUUUAAAGAAAAUCCGCAAGAGAAAGCAAGCCACCCCAAAAGGAAAAAAAAAAAAAUGGAAAUGUGGAAGGCAUGAACUAGCAUUAAGUCAAAGACUAGAAA
Long non-coding RNA from Canis lupus familiaris (dog), 1074 nucleotides. RefSeq lists it as uncharacterized. The record is from RefSeq and is a predicted model, not a curated record. The transcript is spliced from 2 exons. Lineage: Eukaryota; Metazoa; Chordata; Mammalia; Carnivora; Canidae.